Molecule: long non-coding RNA, 1040 nt
Organism: Silurus meridionalis
Lineage: Eukaryota; Metazoa; Chordata; Actinopteri; Siluriformes; Siluridae
Exons: 3
Source: RefSeq, a predicted model, not a curated record
CACACACACACACACACACACACACACACACACACACACAUGACAGACAGAGAGUGUCUAUUUAGUUUUUUUUUCCAUAUUUCAGCAAAAUAGUUUCUAUUGGAUGUUCCUAAUCUGCAGUGGUCAGUAUCUAGCAAAAGUGCUCCAAGGAAGGAACAGUGGUGAAGCUGAAGCCGACAGCCAAGGCUCAUUAAUGCAUGUGAGGAGCGAAGGCUGGUCCAUGUGAUCUGAUCCAACAGACGAGCUCCUGUAGCUCAAACUGCUGAACAAAAAAGAGUCUUGAUGUAUACCUACCUCAUCCGAAGGUGGGAGCAGGGUUCCUUAACUGGAACUAAGAGACUCAAACCUAUUUUAGAGCUCCAUGAACACAUGGGGUGUGAAGGUUGGAGUGGAAGAACCCAACUGCCCUGCACAGAUGCCUAACCUCCACAACCCACAGCCCAACUAAACAGUUCUGGGAUGACUGAACCUCAGACAUCUUCACCUAACAUCUGCGCCUCAUCUCAAUAACGCUUUUAUAGCUAAGUGAACAUUAUUCCUCACAGCCAUGUGGCAACAUCUAGUGGGAAUCCUUAAGUUAAGUUUAUUAUAACAGCAAAAAGAGGACUAAUUUUGGAAUUUGUUCAACAAGUACAUAUGAGUGUGAUGGUCAGGUGCCAUCUAAUUUUGGUCAUGUAGUUUAUAUAGACAACUGUGGUUUGUACAAUAAUUUUAGGGAUGGAAAUGAUGUUUGGAAACAUUAGCACAGUGGAAUGUUGAGUAAGAAGCAAACCGAACUGAUCUUUUAUCCUGAUGUUUUUUUUUUACAUUUAUUUACAUUUCAUUUAUAUUUCUGGCAUAGCGGCUUUUCUCGUCUGCCAGUUGAGCAUUGGAGGGAUGAAGGCCUUGCUCAGGAUCCCAGCAGUAACAGCUUGGUGAGCUCGUAUUACCUGAUGUUGGUACAGUGGGAGAAGGGCUCAUGUCUGGACACUGGAAAGUCGGAUGCUUGAAAUUCUGCUGUCGAACUUUAUCUGGAUACUCCUGCAAAAGCAAAGAAUUGA